RNAcentral lists this ribosomal RNA (3361 nucleotides) under Ambystoma mexicanum (axolotl). RNAcentral describes it as "eukaryotic LSU rRNA". The stretch from base 1022 to 3356 matches the Rfam family "Eukaryotic large subunit ribosomal RNA". The record is from RNAcentral. Lineage: Eukaryota; Metazoa; Chordata; Amphibia; Caudata; Ambystomatidae.
UUUUGUCCUUCUCAGGGAGAGCUGAAAGUGCGUUAAGGGCACCUGAAUGGGCCCAGCAUGUCUGGUAAUAACUCGUCAGGGCUUAAAGGUAUGUGAAAGUGGGAAUGUAUGUAUGGUCUUUAGUAGUUCUCCCUGCCAAGUUUCCCUGUUCCAUGUGCAACUCCUCAAACCAUUCCCGUUUUCUUGCUUCCAAUUGCAUGCUGGAAACUUGUAAUUUUGUUAUUCCAUAGUAAGGGUGAGCCUACAAGUCCCAGCAUGCAGUGCAGGGUGAAAAAAGGACUGGCUCAAAGAUUUUGCAUGGAACAGGAAAAUCUGACAGCUAUGUAUGGCCCUGUCCAGCAUAGGUCCCAGCACUCCACGUCCCUCACCGGAGGGAAAAGCUCUAUUACGUCAUGGCCAGAGCUCCAGGUCAGCCAGGGGUGCUGCCCCAGCCUUUGGGCACCUGCUUUGCACAUUGAUCUACUGUCACCCUGCCCAGCGGCAGUCCUGCCACACCCCGGCAGGGUCCCUGUCCCUCCCUGGAGGAAAAAGAUCUAAUGUGCCCUGGCCAGAGCUCAAGGAUGGCUGGGGGUGUGGCCCCCUCCUGUGGGCCUCUUGCCCGCACGCAGAUCAACCUUUUGCAUGUCUAUUUGUGGUCCUCGGGGUGCCCCGGUGGGGUCCCUGUCCCUCCCUCGAGGGAAAAGCUCCAUCGCUUCCCAGCCAGAGCUCCAGGUAAACCAGAGGUCUUGCCCCCUGCUUUGGGUGCCUGCCUCGCACAUGGCCCAUCCAUCCCCCCUCCCCUCCACGUUACCCAGGGUACACAGAUUACAAGAAAGCUUAGUCACUUCCACUGGAUUACUGUAGACAGGUUGUAUGGGUCCUGUCUGCGCACCACUUGGUUCUCGCUGCCUGACCUGGGCUAUGUGUUCACACCCCCGUACCCCACACAAACCCGUCCAAGGGCAGUUCUCCAUGAGGGGUUCCAGCAGAGCCAGCCUGCUGGGGGUGGGAGUCCUGCAUGAUACCUUUGGAGCUCUUCUGAGAGUCCUACCUUUUCCAGGGCCAACUUCAUGUUUGUUGCCUCCUUGGGAGCACGGGAGCCUGUCGUUCCUUUGCCAGGGCACCAGGGGCCCUUCAGCCCAGGCCCAUUUGAUUGGCUGUGCUCUGAGCCCACGUGGAGCCAGGCGUAGAAUCAGAGAGCCCAGUGGGCCACUUUGGUAAGCAGAAAUGGCACUGCAGGAUGAACCGAAUGCUGGGUUAAGGCAUCCUAUGCCGACGAUCAUCAGACCCCAGAAAAGAUGUUGGUUGAUAUAGACAGCAGGACUGUGGCCAUGGACGUCUGAAUCCACUAAGGAGUGUGUAACAACUCACCUGCCAAAUCAAGUAGCCCUGAAAAUGGAUGGCAUUUGAGCAUCAGGCCCAUACCCAGCCGUUGCUGAGAGCCGCAGGGACUAAGCCACAACGAGUAGGAGGGCCGCUGCGGUGUGCACGGAAGCCUGGGUGAAGGGCCGGAUUGUGGUAGAGGCAAACAUUCAAACGUGAACAUUGAAGGCUGAAUCCGAGAACGGUUCCAUGUGAACAGCAGUUGAACAUGGGUCAGUCGGCCCUAAGAGUAGGGCGAGUGCUGUUUGGAAGGGAUGGGCGUUGCCCUCAGCCCUCACAGUGUGGAACAUAAGCAAUAACGGAGAAGCCAGCGGGAGCCACAGGCAAAGAGUUUUUCUUUGCUAACGGCAAUGGGAUGGGCUCACCCCGAGAGAGGCCCGAGCAUUGAAAAGUGCUGCUGGUCCUUGAAAAUCCAGGGGAGAUGGUGUAAAUCACGCACCAGGCUGUACCCAUAUCUGCAGCAGGUCUCCAAGUUGAAAAGCCUCUAGCAUGUUGGAACAAUGUAGAUAAAGGAAGUUGGCAAGUCAGAUCCAUAGCUUUGGGAUAAUGAUGGCUCUAAGGGAUGGGUCGGUCAAGCUGGGGAGACUCUGGACGUGAGCCAGGCCUUUCCUGUGGAUCACACCAGAUGCGGCUGUCGCUUCUCUAUAUUCCCAUUCGGAGUGGGCGUUCUGCCUUGGCCAAAGCCUAGCAGCUGACUUAGAACUGGGUCGGACCAGUGGAUCCAGACUGUUUAAUAAAAAAAAAAGCAUUGCAAAGGCCCACAGUGGGUGUUGAAGUGAUGUCAUUUCUGCCCAGUGCUCAGUCAAAGUGAAGUAAUUCAGUGAAGCUUGGAUAAACGGCAGGAGUAACUAUGACUCUUAAACUAGCCAAAUGCCUCAUCAUCUAAUUAGUGACACGCAUGAAUGGAUGCAAGAGAUUCCCAAUGUCCCUACCUACUAUCUAGUGAAAGGGGCUUGGCGGAAUCACCUGGGAAAGAAGACCAUGUUGAGUGUGGCUCUAGUCUGGCACUGUGAAGAGACAUGAGAGGUGUAGGAUAAGUGGGAAGCCUUCGGGCCUUCAGGGAAAUACCACUACUCUUAUUGUUUUUUUCACAUUUCUGGUGAGGCGGAGGCCGGCGAGCCCUGUGGGUCUCUCACUUCUGGCUCUAUGUGCCUGGCACUCAGCGCACAAUCUGCUCUGGGUACAAUGGUGGGUGGGGAGUUUGACUGGGGUGAUACACCUGUCAGACAAUAACAGAGGUGUCCUAAGGUGUGCUCAGGGAGGACAGAAACCACCUGUGGAGCAGAAAGACAAAAGCUAGCUUGAUCUCGAUUUUCAGUAUGAAUGCAGACCAUGAAAGCGGGGCCUCGCACUCUUUCCGACUUGUUGCGUUUCAAGCAGGAGCUGUCAGAAAAGUUACCACAGGGAUAACUGGCUUGGGGCGGACAAGCGUUCACACUGAUGUUGCAUUUUGAUCCAUCAAUGUCAGCUAUUCCUAUCAUUGUGAAGCAUAAUUCACCAAGAGUUGGAUUGUUCACCCACUAAUAAGGAGUGUGAGCUGGGUUUAGACUGUCGUGAGACAUGUACGUUUAACCCUAUUGAUGAUGUGUUGUUGCAAUAGUAAUCCUGCUCAGUAUGAGAGGAAACCACAGGUUCAGACAUUUGGUGUAUGUGCUUGGAUGAGGAGCAAAUGGGGCAAAGUUACCAUCAGUGGGAUUAUGACUGAACACCCCUAAGUCAGAAUCCCCCCUAAACUGUAACAAUACUGCUGCGCUGUGUGGCCCAGUUGGUCUAUUAUAACCGCCUCCGGGCCAGUCCACAGAGCCGCUUGCCUCGGGACUAGAGUGUGGGCAGAAGGGGGCCACCUCUCUCACCUGUAGUGCACUGCAUGUUUGUGAGGAGCUUGGUGCUAAAUCAUUUGUAAACAACCUGAUUCUGAGCCAGGGUUUCUUAAGUAGCAAAGCAGCUACCUCGCUGCAAUCUAUUGAGUCUUCCUCUGAGCCACGCUUAUUUCAGCGCA